This 1404-nucleotide ribosomal RNA is filed under the name Gammaproteobacteria bacterium. RNAcentral's name for it is "bacterial SSU rRNA". It matches the Rfam family "Bacterial small subunit ribosomal RNA". Lineage: Bacteria; Pseudomonadati; Pseudomonadota; Gammaproteobacteria. The record is from RNAcentral.
GCAGUCGAGCGGUAGCACAGAGAGCUUGCUCUCGGGUGACGAGCGGCGGACGGGUGAGUAAUGUCUGGGAAACUGCCUGAUGGAGGGGGAUAACUACUGGAAACGGUAGCUAAUACCGCAUAAUGUCGCAAGACCAAAGUGGGGGACCUUCGGGCCUCAUGCCAUCAGAUGUGCCCAGAUGGGAUUAGCUAGUAGGUGGGGUAACGGCUCACCUAGGCGACGAUCCCUAGCUGGUCUGAGAGGAUGACCAGCCACACUGGAACUGAGACACGGUCCAGACUCCUACGGGAGGCAGCAGUGGGGAAUAUUGCACAAUGGGCGCAAGCCUGAUGCAGCCAUGCCGCGUGUGUGAAGAAGGCCUUCGGGUUGUAAAGCACUUUCAGCGGGGAGGAAGGCGAUAAGGUUAAUAACCUUGUCGAUUGACGUUACCCGCAGAAGAAGCACCGGCUAACUCCGUGCCAGCAGCCGCGGUAAUACGGAGGGUGCAAGCGUUAAUCGGAAUUACUGGGCGUAAAGCGCACGCAGGCGGUCUGUCAAGUCGGAUGUGAAAUCCCCGGGCUCAACCUGGGAACUGCAUUCGAAACUGGCAGGCUAGAGUCUUGUAGAGGGGGGUAGAAUUCCAGGUGUAGCGGUGAAAUGCGUAGAGAUCUGGAGGAAUACCGGUGGCGAAGGCGGCCCCCUGGACAAAGACUGACGCUCAGGUGCGAAAGCGUGGGGAGCAAACAGGAUUAGAUACCCUGGUAGUCCACGCCGUAAACGAUGUCGAUUUGGAGGUUGUGCCCUUGAGGCGUGGCUUCCGGAGCUAACGCGUUAAAUCGACCGCCUGGGGAGUACGGCCGCAAGGUUAAAACUCAAAUGAAUUGACGGGGGCCCGCACAAGCGGUGGAGCAUGUGGUUUAAUUCGAUGCAACGCGAAGAACCUUACCUGGUCUUGACAUCCACAGAACUUUCCAGAGAUGGAUUGGUGCCUUCGGGAACUGUGAGACAGGUGCUGCAUGGCUGUCGUCAGCUCGUGUUGUGAAAUGUUGGGUUAAGUCCCGCAACGAGCGCAACCCUUAUCCUUUGUUGCCAGCGGUCCGGCCGGGAACUCAAAGGAGACUGCCAGUGAUAAACUGGAGGAAGGUGGGGAUGACGUCAAGUCAUCAUGGCCCUUACGACCAGGGCUACACACGUGCUACAAUGGCAUAUACAAAGAGAAGCGACCUCGCGAGAGCAAGCGGACCUCAUAAAGUAUGUCGUAGUCCGGAUUGGAGUCUGCAACUCGACUCCAUGAAGUCGGAAUCGCUAGUAAUCGUAGAUCAGAAUGCUACGGUGAAUACGUUCCCGGGCCUUGUACACACCGCCCGUCACACCAUGGGAGUGGGUUGCAAAAGAAGUAGGUAGCUUAACCUUCGGGAGGGCGCU